This 754-nucleotide ribosomal RNA is filed under the name uncultured archaeon. Its description in RNAcentral is "bacterial SSU rRNA". It matches the Rfam family "Archaeal small subunit ribosomal RNA", at positions 102 to 859 of the family's 1478-position model. The record is from RNAcentral.
AGUCAACAUGCCCAGAGGACGUGGAUAACCUCGGGAAACUGAGGAUAAACCGCGAUAGGUCAUAAUUACUGGAAUGUGUUAUGGCCAAAAUCUACAUGGCCUCUGGAUUGGACUGCGGCCGAUCAGGCUGUUGGUGAGGUAAUGGCCCACCAAACCUGUUACCGGUACGGGCUCUGAGAGGAGGAGCCCGGAGAUGGGCACUGAGACAAGGGCCCAGGCCCUAUGGGGCGCAGCAGGCGCGAAACCUCUGCAAUAGGCGAAAGCUUGACAGGGUUACUCUGAGUGAUUCCCGCUAAGGGAAUCUUUUGGCAUCUCUAAAAAUGGUGCAGAAUAAGGGGUGGGCAAGUCUGGUGUCAGCCGCCGCGGUAAUACCAGCACCCCGAGCGGUCGGGACGAUUAUUGGGCCUAAAGCAUCCGUAGCCGGUCUUGCAAGUCCUCCGUUAAAUCCAGCUGCUUAACAGAUGGGCUGCGGAGGAUACUACAAGGCUAGGAGGCGGGAGAGGCAAGCGGUACUCAGUGGGUAGGGGUAAAAUCCUCUGAUCCAUUGAAGACCACCAGUGGCGAAGGCGGCUUGCCAGAACGCGCUCGACGGUGAGGGAUGAAAGCUGGGGGAGCAAACCGGAUUAGAUACCCGGGUAGUCCCAGCUGUAAACGAUGCAGACUCGGUGAUGGGCCGGCUUUAUGCCAGCUCAGUGCCGCAGGGAAGCCGUUAAGUCUGCCGCCUGGGGAGUACGGUCGCAAGACUGAAACUUAA